ACCAGUUGUGGUGACAGGCACCUGUAAUCCCAGCUACUUAGGAGGCUGAGGCAGGAGAAUGGCGUGAACCCGAGAGGCGGAGCUUGCAGUGAGCCGAGAUCGUGCCACUGCACUCCUGCCUGGGUGANNNNNNNNNNGUUUUGAGACAGAGUCUCACUGUCACCCAGGCAGGAGUGCAGUGGCACGAUCUCGGCUCACUGCAAGCUCCGCCUCUCGGGUUCACGCCAUUCUCCUGCCUCAG
Chlorocebus sabaeus (green monkey) is the source of this 241-nucleotide non-coding RNA. It matches the Rfam family "Metazoan signal recognition particle RNA". From Rfam's summary of the family: The signal recognition particle (SRP) is a universally conserved ribonucleoprotein. It is involved in the co-translational targeting of proteins to membranes. NCBI's taxonomy places the organism in Eukaryota, Metazoa, Chordata, Mammalia, Primates, Cercopithecidae. The record is from Rfam.